UACGUAGGGGGCAAGCGUUGUCCGGAUUUAUUGGGCGUAAAGAGCUCGUAGGCGGUUCCGUAAGUCGUGAAGUCAAAUCUCUGGGCUCAACCCAGAAUCGCUUCCGAUACUGCGGUGACUGGAGUCCGGUAGGGGAGUGUGGAAUUCCCGGUGUAGCGGUGAAAUGCGCAGAUAUCAGGAGGAACACCGGUGGCGAAGGCGGGACUCUGGGCCGAUACUGACGCUGAGGAGCGAAAGCGUGGGGAGCAAACAGG
Molecule: ribosomal RNA, 254 nt
Filed under: uncultured bacterium
Lineage: Bacteria
Description: partial 16S ribosomal RNA
Rfam family: Bacterial small subunit ribosomal RNA
Source: RNAcentral